GACGAACGCUGGCGGCGUGCCUAAUACAUGCAAGUAGAACGCUGAAGGAAGGAGCUUGCUCUUUCUGGAUGAGUUGCGAACGGGUGAGUAACGCGUAGGUAACCUGCCUGGUAGCGGGGGAUAACUAUUGGAAACGAUAGCUAAUACCGCAUAAAAUUGAUUAUUGCAUGAUAGUCAAUUAAAAGGUGCAACUGCACCACUACCAGAUGGACCUGCGUUGUAUUAGCUAGUUGGUGGGGUAACGGCUCACCAAGGCGACGAUACAUAGCCGACCUGAGAGGGUGAUCGGCCACACUGGGACUGAGACACGGCCCAGACUCCUACGGGAGGCAGCAGUAGGGAAUCUUCGGCAAUGGACGGAAGUCUGACCGAGCAACGCCGCGUGAGUGAAGAAGGUUUUCGGAUCGUAAAGCUGUGUUGUAAGAGAAGAACGAGUGUGAGAGUGGAAAGUUCACACUGUGACGGUAUCUUACCAGAAAGGGACGGCUAACUACGUG
Molecule: ribosomal RNA, 497 nt
Filed under: uncultured bacterium
Lineage: Bacteria
Description: partial 16S ribosomal RNA
Rfam family: Bacterial small subunit ribosomal RNA
Source: RNAcentral